Molecule: ribosomal RNA, 504 nt
Filed under: uncultured bacterium
Lineage: Bacteria
Description: partial 16S ribosomal RNA
Rfam family: Bacterial small subunit ribosomal RNA
Source: RNAcentral
GACGAACGCUGGCGGCGUGCUUAACACAUGCAAGUCGAACGGUGAAGCGCUUGCCUUUUUGGUGGGUGUGGAUGAGUGGCGAACGGGUGAGUAACACGUGAGUAACCUGCCCUCUUCUUCUGGAUAACCUCAUGAAAGUGGGGCUAAUACGGGGUAUUCCGGGUCUGUCGCAUGGCGGGUUUGGGAAAGAUUGCGCCUUUGGGUGUGUUCGUUGGGGGAUGGGCUCGCGGCCUAUCAGCUUGUUGGUGGGGUGAUGGCCUACCAAGGCGGUGACGGGUAGCCGGACUGAGAGGGUGGACGGCCACACUGGGACUGAGACACGGCCCAGACUCCGGCGGGAGGCAGCAGUGGGGAAUAUUGCACAAUGGGCGCAAGCCUGAUGCAGCGAGGCCGCGUGAGGGAUGGAGGCCUUCGGGUUGGGAACCUCUUUCGGCAGUGAAGCAGGCCUGCUCCUGUGUGGGUGGGUUGACGGUAGCUGGAUAAGAAGCGCCGGCUAACUACGUG